GUGUCAGCCGCCGCGGUAAUACGGAGGGUGCAAGCGUUAAUCGGAUUCAUUGGGCGUAAAGAGCGCGUAGGCGGGGAGGUAAGUUAGAUGUAAAAGCCCGGGGCUCAACCUCGGAACUGCAUCUAAUACUACUUCUCUAGAGGAUGGGCGGAGAAAAGGGAAUUCCACGUGUAGCGGUGAAAUGCGUAGAUAUGUGGAAGAACACCAGUGGCGAAGGCGCUUUUCUAGCUUAUUCCUGACGCUGAGGCGCGAAAGCAAGGGGAGCAAACAGGAUUAGAUACCCUGGUAGUCCUUGCCGUAAACGAUGUACACUUGAUGUAGAUGGUCUCAACCCCAUUUGUGUCGUAGCUAACGUGUUAAGUGUACCGCCUGAGGAGUACGCUCGCAAGGGUGAAACUCAAAAGAAUUGACGGGGGCCCGCACAAGCAGUGGAGCAUGCGGUUUAAUUCGAUGCAACGCGAAGAACCUUACCCAGACUUGACAUGUACCUGACAGCGGUAGAAAUAUCGUCUUCUGAAAGGACAGGUACACAGGUACUGCAUGGCUGUCGUCAGCUCGUGCCGUGAGGUGUUGGGUUAAGUCCCGCAACGAGCGCAACCCUUAUCACUAGUUGCCAGCAUUUCGGAUGGGAACUCUAGUGAGACUGCCUGGGUUAACCAGGAGGAAGGUGAGGAUGACGUCAAGUCAGCAUGGUCUUUAUGUCUGGGGCGACACGCGUGCUACAAUGGCCAGUACAGAAGGCAGCAAUACCGUAAGGUGGAGCAAAUCCCAAAAACUGGUCUCAGUUCGGAUUGUAGUCUGCAACUCGACUACAUGAAGUUGGAAUUGCUAGUAAUGGCGCGUCAGCCACAGCGCCGUGAAUACGUUCCCGGGCCUUGCACACACCGCCCGUC
This 893-nucleotide ribosomal RNA is filed under the name uncultured bacterium. RNAcentral describes it as "bacterial SSU rRNA". It matches the Rfam family "Bacterial small subunit ribosomal RNA", at positions 505 to 1398 of the family's 1533-position model. The record is from RNAcentral.